GCUGGGUGUGGUAGCAUGCACCUGUAAUCCCAGCUGCUUGGGAGGCUGAGGCAGGAGGAUUGAGGACUGAGUUCAAAGCCAGCCUCAG
Molecule: small RNA, 88 nt
Filed under: Marmota monax (woodchuck)
Lineage: Eukaryota; Metazoa; Chordata; Mammalia; Rodentia; Sciuridae
Source: RNAcentral